Molecule: ribosomal RNA, 213 nt
Filed under: uncultured Staphylococcus sp.
Lineage: Bacteria; Bacillati; Bacillota; Bacilli; Caryophanales; Staphylococcaceae
Description: partial 16S ribosomal RNA
Rfam family: Bacterial small subunit ribosomal RNA
Source: RNAcentral
ACGGGAAACCGGAGCUAAUACCGAUAAUAUAUUGAACCGCAUGGUUCAAUAGUGAAAGACGGUUUUGCUGUCACUUAUAGAUGGAUCCGCGCCGCAUUAGCUAGUUGGUAAGGUAACGGCUUACCAAGGCAAACGAUGCGUAGCCGACCUGAGAGGGUGAUCGGCCACACUGGAACUGAGACACGGUCCAGACUCCUACGGGAGGCAGCAGCU